Molecule: ribosomal RNA, 2931 nt
Filed under: Escherichia coli
Lineage: Bacteria; Pseudomonadati; Pseudomonadota; Gammaproteobacteria; Enterobacterales; Enterobacteriaceae
Description: 23S ribosomal RNA
Rfam family: Bacterial large subunit ribosomal RNA
Source: RNAcentral
GGGUUGUGAGGUUAAGCGACUAAGCGUACACGGUGGAUGCCCUGGCAGUCAGAGGCGAUGAAGGACGUGCUAAUCUGCGAUAAGCGUCGGUAAGGUGAUAUGAACCGUUAUAACCGGCGAUUUCCGAAUGGGGAAACCCAGUGUGUUUCGACACACUAUCAUUAACUGAAUCCAUAGGUUAAUGAGGCGAACCGGGGGAACUGAAACAUCUAAGUACCCCGAGGAAAAGAAAUCAACCGAGAUUCCCCCAGUAGCGGCGAGCGAACGGGGAGCAGCCCAGAGCCUGAAUCAGUGUGUGUGUUAGUGGAAGCGUCUGGAAAGGCGCGCGAUACAGGGUGACAGCCCCGUACACAAAAAUGCACAUGCUGUGAGCUCGAUGAGUAGGGCGGGACACGUGGUAUCCUGUCUGAAUAUGGGGGGACCAUCCUCCAAGGCUAAAUACUCCUGACUGACCGAUAGUGAACCAGUACCGUGAGGGAAAGGCGAAAAGAACCCCGGCGAGGGGAGUGAAAAAGAACCUGAAACCGUGUACGUACAAGCAGUGGGAGCACGCUUAGGCGUGUGACUGCGUACCUUUUGUAUAAUGGGUCAGCGACUUAUAUUCUGUAGCAAGGUUAACCGAAUAGGGGAGCCGAAGGGAAACCGAGUCUUAACUGGGCGUUAAGUUGCAGGGUAUAGACCCGAAACCCGGUGAUCUAGCCAUGGGCAGGUUGAAGGUUGGGUAACACUAACUGGAGGACCGAACCGACUAAUGUUGAAAAAUUAGCGGAUGACUUGUGGCUGGGGGUGAAAGGCCAAUCAAACCGGGAGAUAGCUGGUUCUCCCCGAAAGCUAUUUAGGUAGCGCCUCGUGAAUUCAUCUCCGGGGGUAGAGCACUGUUUCGGCAAGGGGGUCAUCCCGACUUACCAACCCGAUGCAAACUGCGAAUACCGGAGAAUGUUAUCACGGGAGACACACGGCGGGUGCUAACGUCCGUCGUGAAGAGGGAAACAACCCAGACCGCCAGCUAAGGUCCCAAAGUCAUGGUUAAGUGGGAAACGAUGUGGGAAGGCCCAGACAGCCAGGAUGUUGGCUUAGAAGCAGCCAUCAUUUAAAGAAAGCGUAAUAGCUCACUGGUCGAGUCGGCCUGCGCGGAAGAUGUAACGGGGCUAAACCAUGCACCGAAGCUGCGGCAGCGACGCUGAUGCGUUGUUGGGUAGGGGAGCGUUCUGUAAGCCUGCGAAGGUGUGCUGUGAGGCAUGCUGGAGGUAUCAGAAGUGCGAAUGCUGACAUAAGUAACGAUAAAGCGGGUGAAAAGCCCGCUCGCCGGAAGACCAAGGGUUCCUGUCCAACGUUAAUCGGGGCAGGGUGAGUCGACCCCUAAGGCGAGGCCGAAAGGCGUAGUCGAUGGGAAACAGGUUAAUAUUCCUGUACUUGGUGUUACUGCGAAGGGGGGACGGAGAAGGCUAUGUUGGCCGGGCGACGGUUGUCCCGGUUUAAGCGUGUAGGCUGGUUUUCCAGGCAAAUCCGGAAAAUCAAGGCUGAGGCGUGAUGACGAGGCACUACGGUGCUGAAGCAACAAAUGCCCUGCUUCCAGGAAAAGCCUCUAAGCAUCAGGUAACAUCAAAUCGUACCCCAAACCGACACAGGUGGUCAGGUAGAGAAUACCAAGGCGCUUGAGAGAACUCGGGUGAAGGAACUAGGCAAAAUGGUGCCGUAACUUCGGGAGAAGGCACGCUGAUAUGUAGGUGAAGUCCCUCGCGGAUGGAGCUGAAAUCAGUCGAAGAUACCAGCUGGCUGCAACUGUUUAUUAAAAACACAGCACUGUGCAAACACGAAAGUGGACGUAUACGGUGUGACGCCUGCCCGGUGCCGGAAGGUUAAUUGAUGGGGUUAGCGCAAGCGAAGCUCUUGAUCGAAGCCCCGGUAAACGGCGGCCGUAACUAUAACGGUCCUAAGGUAGCGAAAUUCCUUGUCGGGUAAGUUCCGACCUGCACGAAUGGCGUAAUGAUGGCCAGGCUGUCUCCACCCGAGACUCAGUGAAAUUGAACUCGCUGUGAAGAUGCAGUGUACCCGCGGCAAGACGGAAAGACCCCGUGAACCUUUACUAUAGCUUGACACUGAACAUUGAGCCUUGAUGUGUAGGAUAGGUGGGAGGCUUAGAAGUGUGGACGCCAGUCUGCAUGGAGCCGACCUUGAAAUACCACCCUUUAAUGUUUGAUGUUCUAACGUUGACCCGUAAUCCGGGUUGCGGACAGUGUCUGGUGGGUAGUUUGACUGGGGCGGUCUCCUCCUAAAGAGUAACGGAGGAGCACGAAGGUUGGCUAAUCCUGGUCGGACAUCAGGAGGUUAGUGCAAUGGCAUAAGCCAGCUUGACUGCGAGCGUGACGGCGCGAGCAGGUGCGAAAGCAGGUCAUAGUGAUCCGGUGGUUCUGAAUGGAAGGGCCAUCGCUCAACGGAUAAAAGGUACUCCGGGGAUAACAGGCUGAUACCGCCCAAGAGUUCAUAUCGACGGCGGUGUUUGGCACCUCGAUGUCGGCUCAUCACAUCCUGGGGCUGAAGUAGGUCCCAAGGGUAUGGCUGUUCGCCAUUUAAAGUGGUACGCGAGCUGGGUUUAGAACGUCGUGAGACAGUUCGGUCCCUAUCUGCCGUGGGCGCUGGAGAACUGAGGGGGGCUGCUCCUAGUACGAGAGGACCGGAGUGGACGCAUCACUGGUGUUCGGGUUGUCAUGCCAAUGGCACUGCCCGGUAGCUAAAUGCGGAAGAGAUAAGUGCUGAAAGCAUCUAAGCACGAAACUUGCCCCGAGAUGAGUUCUCCCUGACCCUUUAAGGGUCCUGAAGGAACGUUGAAGACGACGACGUUGAUAGGCCGGGUGUGUAAGCGCAGCGAUGCGUUGAGCUAACCGGUACUAAUGAACCGUGAGGCUUAACCUUACAACGCCGAAGGUGUUU